GAGUUUGAUCCUGGCUCAGGAUAAACGCUGGCGGCGCACAUAAGACAUGCAAGUCGAACGAAAGUCGUUAUAAAAAAGAGUGAAGAUUUAUCGGAAUGAAUUUUUAUAACAAUGGCUUUAGUGGCGGACUGGUGAGUAAUACAUAAGCAACCUACCUAUUAGAGGGGAACAACAGUUAGAAAUGACUGCUAAUACCGCAUAUGCCAUAGAGAAGACAUCUUCUCAGUGGGAAAGAAGAAAUUCGCUAAUAGAUGGGCUUAUGGCUGAUUAGCUAGUUGGUGGGGUAAAGGCCUACCAAGGCGACGAUCAGUAGCCGGACUGAGAGGUUCAACGGCCACAUUGGGACUGAGAUACGGCCCAGACUCCUACGGGAGGCAGCAGUCGGGAAUUUUGCGCAAUGGAGGAAACUCUGACGCAGUGACGCCGCGUGCAGGAAGAAGGUUUUCGGAUUGUAAACUGCUUUAGACAGGGAAGAAAAAAGACAGUACCUGUAGAAUAAGCUCCGGCUAACUACGUGCCAGCAGCCGCGGUAAUACGUAGGGAGCAAGCGUUAUCCGGAUUUAUUGGGUGUAAAGGGUGCGUAGACGGGAAAACAAGUUAGCUGUGAAAUCCCUCUGCUUAACAGAGGA
RNAcentral lists this ribosomal RNA (629 nucleotides) under uncultured bacterium. RNAcentral describes it as "bacterial SSU rRNA". It matches the Rfam family "Bacterial small subunit ribosomal RNA", at positions 9 to 619 of the family's 1533-position model. The record is from RNAcentral.